This 406-nucleotide ribosomal RNA is filed under the name uncultured bacterium. Its description in RNAcentral is "partial 16S ribosomal RNA". It matches the Rfam family "Bacterial small subunit ribosomal RNA", at positions 30 to 526 of the family's 1533-position model. The record is from RNAcentral.
AUUGAACGCUGGCGGCAGGCCUAACACAUGCAAGUCGAGCGAGCGGCGGACGGGUGAGUAAUGUCUGGGGAUCUGCCCGAUAGAGGGGGAUAACUACCGGAAACGGCUGCUAAUUCCGCAUUCCUUCGGAUGUACCCAUAUGGGAUUAGCUAGUAGGUGGGGUAAAGGCUCACCUAGGCGACGAUCUCUAGCUGGUCUGAGAGGAUGAUCAGCCACACUGGGACUGAGACACGGCCCAGACUCCUACGGGAGGCAGCAGUGGGGAAUAUUGCACAAUGGGCGCAAGCCUGAUGCAGCCAUGCCGCGUGUAGGAAGAAGGCCUUAGGGUUGUAAAGUACUUUCAGCGGGGAGGCGUUACCCGCAGAAGAAGCACCGGCUAACUCCGUGCCAGCAGCCGCGGUAAUAC